UACGUAGGGUGCAAGCGUUAUCCGGAAUUAUUGGGCGUAAAGAGCUCGUAGGCGGUCUGUCGCGUCGAUCGUGAAAACUUGGGGCUUAACCCUGAGCUUGCAGUCGAUACGGGCAGACUAGAGUUCGGCAGGGGAGACUGGAAUUCCUGGUGUAGCGGUGAAAUGCGCAGAUAUCAGGAGGAACACCUGCGGCGAAGGCGGGUUGCUGGGCCGACACUGACGCUGAUGCGCGAAAGCCAGGGGAGCGAACGGG
Molecule: ribosomal RNA, 253 nt
Filed under: uncultured bacterium
Lineage: Bacteria
Description: partial 16S ribosomal RNA
Rfam family: Bacterial small subunit ribosomal RNA
Source: RNAcentral